Molecule: ribosomal RNA, 433 nt
Filed under: uncultured bacterium
Lineage: Bacteria
Description: partial 16S ribosomal RNA
Rfam family: Bacterial small subunit ribosomal RNA
Source: RNAcentral
AACGAACGCUGGCGGCAUGCCUAACACAUGCAAGUCGAACGAGACCUUCGGGUCUAGUGGCGCACGGGUGCGUAACGCGUGGGAACCUGCCCUUAGGCUCGGAAUAACUCCCCGAAAGGGGUGCUAAUACCGGAUAAUGUCCUCGGACCAAAGAUUUAUCGCCUUUGGAUGGGCCCGCGUUGGAUUAGCUAGUUGGUAGGGUAAAAGCCUAUCAAGGCGACGAUACAUAGCUGGUCUGAGAGGAUGAUCAGCCACACUGGGACUGAGACACGGCCCAGACUCCUACGGGAGGCGGCAGUGGGGAAUAUUGGACAAUGGGCGAAGGCCUGAUCCAGCAAUGCCGCGUGAGUGAUGAAGGCCUUAGAGUUGUAAAGCUCUUUUACCCGGGAUGAUAAUGACAGUACCGGGAGAAUAAGCACCGGCUAACUCCGUG